AGUGAGCGAAAUUGAGACCAAAGAAUUAAUUUAGUAGAUUGUGUUUUACGUAUAUGUUUUAAAAUCCAAAAUGAAAAAAAAAAAAGAAAAAAUGUCUA
Long non-coding RNA from Triticum dicoccoides, 98 nucleotides. RefSeq lists it as uncharacterized. The record is from RefSeq and is a predicted model, not a curated record. Lineage: Eukaryota; Viridiplantae; Streptophyta; Magnoliopsida; Poales; Poaceae. The transcript is spliced from 3 exons.